This 222-nucleotide long non-coding RNA is filed under the name Mytilus galloprovincialis (Mediterranean mussel). The record is from RNAcentral. Lineage: Eukaryota; Metazoa; Mollusca; Bivalvia; Mytilida; Mytilidae.
ACUGCUAAGGUAAUCUUUGCCUGGGGUAAGAAAAUCCUUAGUUUUUCAAAAAAAUCAAAGUUUUGUAAACAGGAAAUUUAUAAAAAUGACCACAUUAUUAAUAUUCAUGUCAACACCGAAGUGUUGACCACUGGGCUGGUCAUACCCUAGGGGACGAAACGCCCACCAGCAGUGGCAUCGACCCAGUGGUGUAAAUAGUUAUCAAAGGUACCAGGAUUAUAA